GCUCUCGGGUGACGAGCGGCGGACGGGUGAGUAAUGUCUGGGAAACUGCCUGAUGGAGGGGGAUAACUACUGGAAACGGUAGCUAAUACCGCAUAAUGUCGCAAGACCAAAGUGGGGGACCUUCGGGCCUCAUGCCAUCAGAUGUGCCCAGAUGGGAUUAGCUAGUAGGUGGGGUAACGGCUCACCUAGGCGACGAUCCCUAGCUGGUCUGAGAGGAUGACCAGCCACACUGGAACUGAGACACGGUCCAGACUCCUACGGGAGGCAGCAGUGGGGAAUAUUGCACAAUGGGCGCAAGCCUGAUGCAGCCAUGCCGCGGUGUGUGAAGAAGGCCUUCGGGUUGUAAAGCACUUUCAGCGGGGAGGAAGGCGUUAAGGUUAAUAACCUUGGCGAUUGACGUUACCCGCAGAAGAAGCACCGGCUAACUCCGUGCCAGCAGCCGCGGUAAUACGGAGGGUGCAAGCGUUAAUCGGAAUUACUGGGCGUAAAGCGCACGCAGGCGGUCUGUCAAGUCGGAUGUGAAAUCCCCGGGCUCAACCUGGGAACUGCAUUCGAAACUGGCAGGCUAGAGUCUUGUAGAGGGGGGUAGAAUUCCAGGUGUAGCGGUGAAAUGCGUAGAGAUCUGGAGGAAUACCGGUGGCGAAGGCGGCCCCCUGGACAAAGACUGACGCUCAGGUGCGAAAGCGUGGGGAGCAAA
Molecule: ribosomal RNA, 697 nt
Filed under: uncultured Enterobacteriaceae bacterium
Lineage: Bacteria; Pseudomonadati; Pseudomonadota; Gammaproteobacteria; Enterobacterales; Enterobacteriaceae
Description: SSU rRNA
Rfam family: Bacterial small subunit ribosomal RNA
Source: RNAcentral